This 504-nucleotide ribosomal RNA is filed under the name uncultured bacterium. RNAcentral describes it as "partial 16S ribosomal RNA". It matches the Rfam family "Bacterial small subunit ribosomal RNA", at positions 28 to 506 of the family's 1533-position model. The record is from RNAcentral.
GACGAACGCUGGCGGCGUGCCUAAUACAUGCAAGUAGAACGCACAGUUUAUACCGUAGCUUGCUACACCAUAAACUGUGAGUUGCGAACGGGUGAGUAACGCGUAGGUAACCUGCCUGGUAGCGGGGGAUAACUAUUGGAAACUAUAGCUAAUACCGCAUAAUAUUGAUUAUUGCAUGAUAAUUGAUUUUAUGCUGCUAUUGCAUCACUACCAGAUGGACCUGCGUUGUAUUAGCUAGUAGGUGAGGUAACGGCUCACCUAGGCGACGAUACAUAGCCGACCUGAGAGGGUGAUAGGCCACACUGGGACUGAGACACGGCCCAGACUCCUACGGGAGGCAGCAGUAGGGAAUCUUCGGCAAUGGACGAAAGUCUGACCGAGCAACGCCGCGUGAGUGAAGAAGGUUUUCGGAUCGUAAAGCUCUGUUGUAAGAGAAGAACGGGUGUGAGAGUGGAAAGUUCACACUGUGACGGGAUCUUACCAGAAAGGGACGGCUAACUACGU